GUAGGGAAUAUUGGGCAAUGGAGGCAACUCUGACCCAGCCAUGCCGCGUGCAGGAUGACGGCCCUCUGGGUUGUAAACUACUUUUAUACGGGAAGAAAAAAUACUACGUGUAGUAUACUGACGGUACCGUAAGAAUAAGGAUCGGCUAACUCCGUGCCAGCAGCCGCGGUAAUACGGAGGAUCCAAGCGUUGUCCGGAUUUAUUGGGUUUAAAGGGUGCGUAGGCGGAUCUUUAAGUCAGUGGUGAAAGCCUGCAGCUUAACUGUAGAAUUGCCAUUGAAACUGAAGAUCUUGAAUGUGGUUAAAGUAGGCGGAAUGUAUCAUGUAGCGGUGAAAUGCUUAGAUAUGAUACAGAACACCGAUAGCGAAGGCAGCUUGCUGAACCAUUAUUGACGCUGAGGCACGAAAGCGUGGGGAGCGAACAGGAUUAGAUACCCGGGUAGUCC
Molecule: ribosomal RNA, 445 nt
Filed under: uncultured bacterium
Lineage: Bacteria
Description: partial 16S ribosomal RNA
Rfam family: Bacterial small subunit ribosomal RNA
Source: RNAcentral